UUAAAAGUGUUUGUAUGGUUUACA
This 24-nucleotide non-coding RNA is filed under the name Arabidopsis thaliana (thale cress). The record is from RNAcentral. Lineage: Eukaryota; Viridiplantae; Streptophyta; Magnoliopsida; Brassicales; Brassicaceae.